GAUGAACGCUGGCGGCGUGCCUAAUACAUGCAAGUCGAGCGAACAGACGAGGAGCUUGCUCCUCUGACGUUAGCGGCGGACGGGUGAGUAACACGUGGAUAACCUACCUAUAAGACUGGGAUAACUUCGGGAAACCGGAGCUAAUACCGGAUAAUAUAUUGAACCGCAUGGUUCAAUAGUGAAAGACGGUUUUGCUGUCACUUAUAGAUGGAUCCGCGCCGCAUUAGCUAGUUGGUAAGGUAACGGCUUACCAAGGCAACGAUGCGUAGCCGACCUGAGAGGGUGAUCGGCCACACUGGAACUGAGACACGGUCCAGACUCCUACGGGAGGCAGCAGUAGGGAAUCUUCCGCAAUGGGCGAAAGCUUGACGGAGCAACGCCGCGUGAGUGAUGAAGGUCUUCGGCUCGUAAAACUCUGUUAUUAGGGAAGAACAAAUGUGUAAGUAACUAUGCACGUCUUGACGGUACCUAAUCAGAAAGCCACGGCUAACUACGU
RNAcentral lists this ribosomal RNA (496 nucleotides) under uncultured bacterium. RNAcentral describes it as "partial 16S ribosomal RNA". It matches the Rfam family "Bacterial small subunit ribosomal RNA", at positions 28 to 506 of the family's 1533-position model. The record is from RNAcentral.